AUUGAACGCUGGCGGCAGGCCUAACACAUGCAAGUCGAGCGGAUGAAGGGAGCUUGCUCCUGGAUUCAGCGGCGGACGGGUGAGUAAUGCCUAGGAAUCUGCCUGGUAGUGGGGGAUAACGUCCGGAAACGGGCGCUAAUACCGCAUACGUCCUGAGGGAGAAAGUGGGGGAUCUUCGGACCUCACGCUAUCAGAUGAGCCUAGGUCGGAUUAGCUAGUUGGUGGGGUAAAGGCCUACCAAGGCGACGAUCCGUAACUGGUCUGAGAGGAUGAUCAGUCACACUGGAACUGAGACACCGUCCAGACUCCUACGGGAGGCAGCAGUCGGGAAUAUUGGACAAUGGUCGAAAGCCUUAUUCAGCCAUGCCGCGUGUGUGAAAAAGGUCUUCCGAUUGUAAAGCCCGUUUAGUUGGGAGGAACGGCAGUAAGUUAAGACCUUGCUUUUUUGACGGUACCGACAGAAUAAGCACCGGCUAACUUCGUG
This 484-nucleotide ribosomal RNA is filed under the name uncultured bacterium. RNAcentral describes it as "partial 16S ribosomal RNA". It matches the Rfam family "Bacterial small subunit ribosomal RNA", at positions 30 to 507 of the family's 1533-position model. The record is from RNAcentral.